RNAcentral lists this ribosomal RNA (465 nucleotides) under uncultured bacterium. RNAcentral describes it as "partial 16S ribosomal RNA". It matches the Rfam family "Bacterial small subunit ribosomal RNA", at positions 338 to 795 of the family's 1533-position model. The record is from RNAcentral.
CCUACGGGUGACAGCAGUGGGGAAUAUUGCGCAAUGGGCGAAAGCCUGACGCAGCGACGCCGCGUGAGGGAUGAAGGUCUUCGGAUCGUAAACCUCUGUCAGCAGGGAAGAACGGUCACUGUGCUAAUCAGCAGUUAAUUGACGGUACCUGCAAAGAAAGCACCGGCUAACUCCGUGCCAGCAGCCCCGGUAAUACGGAGGGUGCGAGCGUUAAUCGGAAUUACUGGGAGUAAAGCGCUCGUAGGCGGUAUGUCAAGUCAAGGGUGAAAUCACCGCGCUCAACGGUGGAACUGCCUUUGAAACGGGCAAACUGGAGUGUGUGAGAGGAUAGUGGAAUUCCAGGGGGAGGUGUGAAAUCCGUAGAUAUCUGGAGGAACAUCAGUGGCGAAGGCGACUAUCUGGCACAUAACUGACGCUGAGGAGCGAAAGCGUGGGUAGCAAACAGGAUUAGAUACCCCAGUAGUC